This 496-nucleotide ribosomal RNA is filed under the name uncultured Streptococcus sp. RNAcentral describes it as "bacterial SSU rRNA". It matches the Rfam family "Bacterial small subunit ribosomal RNA", at positions 28 to 508 of the family's 1533-position model. Lineage: Bacteria; Bacillati; Bacillota; Bacilli; Lactobacillales; Streptococcaceae. The record is from RNAcentral.
GACGAACGCUGGCGGCGUGCCUAAUACAUGCAAGUAGAACGCUGAAGGAGGAGCUUGCUUCUCUGGAUGAGUUGCGAACGGGUGAGUAACGCGUAGGUAACCUGCCUGGUAGCGGGGGAUAACUAUUGGAAACGAUAGCUAAUACCGCAUAACAGUAGAUGUUGCAUGACAUUUGCUUAAAAGGUGCAAUUGCAUCACUACCAGAUGGACCUGCGUUGUAUUAGCUAGUUGGUGGGGUAACGGCUCACCAAGGCGACGAUACAUAGCCGACCUGAGAGGGUGAUCGGCCACACUGGGACUGAGACACGGCCCAGACUCCUACGGGAGGCAGCAGUAGGGAAUCUUCGGCAAUGGACGGAAGUCUGACCGAGCAACGCCGCGUGGGUGAAGAAGGUUUUCGGAUCGUAAAGCUCUGUCGUAAGAGAAGAACGAGUGUGAGAGUGGAAAGUUCACACUGUGACGGUGUCUUACCAGAAAGGGACGGCUAACUACGUGC